GGAGAUGUAGUUCAGUGGUAGAACAUUUGUACAGCGUGUGUGAGGCCCUGGGUUCAAGUCCCAGUAGCACCA
RNAcentral lists this transfer RNA (72 nucleotides) under Ictidomys tridecemlineatus (thirteen-lined ground squirrel). RNAcentral's name for it is "Spermophilus tridecemlineatus (thirteen-lined ground squirrel) tRNA". It matches the Rfam family "tRNA". Rfam says of the family: Transfer RNA (tRNA) molecules are approximately 80 nucleotides in length. Their secondary structure includes four short double-helical elements and three loops (D, anti-codon, and T loops). The record is from Rfam by way of RNAcentral. Lineage: Eukaryota; Metazoa; Chordata; Mammalia; Rodentia; Sciuridae.